CCUACGGGGGGCAGCAGUGAGGAAUCUUGGUCAAUGGGCGCGAGCCUGAACCAGCCAAGUAGCGUGAGGGAUGACUGCCCUACGGGCUGUAAACUUCUUUUAUAAAGGAAUAAAGUGAGGCACGUGUGCCUUUUUGUAUGUAUUUUAUGAAUCCGGAUCGGCUAACUCCGUGCCAGCAGCCGCGGUAAUACGGAGGAUCCGAGCGUUAUCCGGAUUUAUUGGGUUUAAAGGGAGCGUAGAUGGGUUGUUAAGUCAGUUGUGAAAGUUUGCGGCUCAACCGUAAAAUUGCAAUUGAAACUGGCAGCCUUGAGUACAGUUGAGGAAGGUGGAAUUCGUGGUGUAGCGGUGAAAUGCUUAGAUAUAACGAAGAACUCCGAUUGCGAAGGCAGCCUACUAAUCUGCCACUGACAUUGAUGCUCGAAAGUGUGGGGAGCAAACAGGAUUAGAUACCCCUGUAGUC
Molecule: ribosomal RNA, 460 nt
Filed under: uncultured bacterium
Lineage: Bacteria
Description: partial 16S ribosomal RNA
Rfam family: Bacterial small subunit ribosomal RNA
Source: RNAcentral